ACCUGGCUGGCUCAGUCCAUAGAGCAUGUGACUCUAAAUCUCAGGGUUCUGAGUUUGAGGCUCAUGGCAGGUG
RNAcentral lists this transfer RNA (73 nucleotides) under Ailuropoda melanoleuca (giant panda). It matches the Rfam family "tRNA". From Rfam's summary of the family: Transfer RNA (tRNA) molecules are approximately 80 nucleotides in length. Lineage: Eukaryota; Metazoa; Chordata; Mammalia; Carnivora; Ursidae. The record is from Rfam by way of RNAcentral.